Small nucleolar RNA from Ailuropoda melanoleuca (giant panda), 74 nucleotides. Ensembl annotates it as small nucleolar RNA, C/D box 6. Its record names the gene SNORD6. Lineage: Eukaryota; Metazoa; Chordata; Mammalia; Carnivora; Ursidae. The record is from Ensembl.
UGAUGUUAUGAUGAUGGGCAAAAUGUUCAACUGCUCUGAAUGCACUGAAUGAAAAGUAGCCUUUCUGAACAUCC